Long non-coding RNA from Oreochromis niloticus (Nile tilapia), 3361 nucleotides. RefSeq lists it as uncharacterized. The transcript is spliced from 3 exons. The record is from RefSeq and is a predicted model, not a curated record. NCBI's taxonomy places the organism in Eukaryota, Metazoa, Chordata, Actinopteri, Cichliformes, Cichlidae.
UCACCGUUCUACCUUUUUCUUUACCUCCUCCAUACCAACAAUUUCACAUUUUUGGAUUCAUCGCUCCGUCAGAUCUGUUGCCCCAGAUUUUCAGUCCAGGUCUUUUGUAAUUUGGCAUACCUCAGCCUUUCCUCCCUUUGUCCUCUUCCUUAUAGCUUCUUGACACCCACCCUUACACCGGGACCAUUUCUGAUGAGGCUUCAGUGAACAGUAGAUGGAUCAAUUGAAGUGCCAGAUGCAUCUCUCGGGUUUUGUGUCAGGUCUUUGAGCUGAUACUCUCUGGGUGUUUGGAUUUAUUGGCCUUGAAUCACUCUGAUACAGAAGAAAUGACCUUGACUUCCGAGUCUCACGGUGCAGCUUCUCUCUGAGCGCAGUCCAAAUGGAGGGAGCACAAGAGGCAACGAUACUGCAAACCAAGGGUGCAACUACGCAGUCUCCAGGCUUUUCUGCUGUCAGCGCACAAGGGAAUGAACAAACUACUUGCAGCCUUGUGCAGCAGAGGAAUAUUAAAUUUUAAUCACACCAAUACAGUCCCAUAAUGGCAUCAUGAUUGCAAAUCAACUACGGAUUUGUUCGACAGUCACUGAUGGAUAAGCGAGCGUAUGAGCGGCAAGAAGAGUGGCAAAUGAAAGGACUAAUGACACUAAAGCCUGACUGCAGAUUAGCUGUGGCCUUAUAAGGUCAGGAGGAACUGCAGCAAACUGGCGAGACUCACGCAAACACACACCAGUUCAUAGUGUUACUGGCCAGUUUUAUUCUGUAGAAGGAUGCAUAUAUAACAUCCUCUUGCACAUUUGCUGGAGGAUCUUAUAUGUUAUAUAUAUAUCUAAGCUUGUCCUGCGUGACCCGCUGCUGGCCUGAGCACAAUGACUGGAACCAGUACCCUGACAGGGGGAUAAGUAAUAGCUCCUCUAUGGCUGCCAGCCUACACAAUCAUCCCUGCUAUUGCCUCCACUGAUUUAUUGAAAGACAAAGACCUUUGGUUCCAGUGAGCCUGCUGCCUGGCCCAGCUCCCAAUGCAUGUAUUGUUUUCCAUUUUAGUGCCACAUAAUGCCAAGAGAAGACACUGAGGCCCUGAGCUGGGGUUCAUGUCACUGCUAUGGAUGCUGCGUUCGCUGGUAAUAAAGUGGUCACAAUAGAUAAACAGCACCUUUGCAUUGCAGAGAUGAGCGCGCAUAAGUGUCGACGAGGGAGAGACGGAGUGCUUUAAAUUAAAUUUUUGUCCAAAUUAUUAUAACAGUGUAGCGUUAUUUACAAAACCCAACCUCAGUGAAAGACACUAAUAUACCACCAUAGUAUUUCAUCAAUCUUAUUGUUGGGUGGAUUGCCUUUGAUUGAUGACUAAUGUUUUAAUUAGAAUACGUUUCAAUUACGUGAGUUGAUGGAAUAUCAGAUAUAGUGCUGUGCUAAAUCACACCAACAGUGAACUGGACUGUUCUGCAGACAAAACUAAAUCACCCCCCAGUCAUAUUUUGCAUCUCAGAGCGUUUGCUAAUUUAUUUUUCAUUUUACUUUGUCUGGGCAAAAUGUUUUAUGGAAAGGCGGGUAUUUCUAGCCGAGCCAAAAGUUGCUUUCUGUGCACGGUCCUUCUUCAUCAAUUGCUUCACUGCGGGUAAAAGUGCUGCCGGGAGCAACCAUGCUGAUAAAAUAAUGUGGCUUCAAGCAGACAUUGAUACUAAAACAACAAAUAUGAGAGUCUGGUGUUAAAAUACAAGAGGAUGAAAGGAAGGAAAAUGUGGAAAAAUAGAUUAUCUGGUCCAGGCGCUGUAGUUUCUAUUCUAUUACAUACUUAUUUCAUAGGUGGUGAGAUCUCAUUUACAAGACGAGGUUAAAAGGACAGAAAAGAAAAAGAAGUAACAAGCUGCAAACAGUAUAGCUUUCUUUUCAUAUAGUCACUGUACCUCAAUAUGCUGCUGUCUCUUGAGCGUUAGCUGCAUUAUUAUUAUAUAUAAGAUGUUACAAAAAAGUUACAGAAUGUAAACACAACCGGCACAAAAUCUUAAAGUUAUUAAGACUUGGUUUUGCUGUACACUAGAGAAAUUUAGGCUUGUCUUUACUGAAAUCCUAAGUGUGUGAAGUCCUUUUGGUGCAGACGCUGACAAUAAACCAAAAGGUGUAUAUCAUGGGUCCCCCAUCCCAGUCCACGAGGGCCGGUGUCCCUGCAGGUUUUAGAUGUGUCCUUGAUCCAUCACAGCUGAUUUAAAUGGAUAAAUUACCUUCUCAACAUGUCUUGAUGUUCUCCAGAGGCCUGGUAAUGAAUUAAUCAUGUGAUUCAGGUGUGUUGACCCAGGGUGAGAUCUGAAACCUGCAGGGACCUCGUGGACUGGGAUUGGGGACCCCUGGUGUAUAUAAAAGACGGUGACAGCCGACGACAUCACCCAUCGAUUUGUGGAUUGACUACAUUCAGUCAUUUAGGUUACUGCUGUGCUAGAGUGUGCUAUAGUUUCAGCUGAAUAUAUGGCUUUAAAGGGUAAGACUUUAGUACAUUUAAAAGCUGAUAAUGCUUACCAGAUUAGGCUGGGAUAUUAUUAGCAGCACACAACAAUAACCAUAAACAGCCUAUUGAUUUUACGUUCAGUUCUCUUAAAGCACUCGUAUCCAGUGUUGCAGAGAGAAGCUUUAAAUGGUAAUUUUUGCUCCAUGGUGGGCAUUAAAUGUAACACUGGACAGUGUGACUGUAGAGUCAGUGGUGAAAUGAAGCUAUCCAUUCAGAGUACGAGCCACCGUUAGAGCCUAUUCAAUAAACAUUUACAGCAGUAGAAGCUUCCACAGUGCAACUUGGGAAAGAAGGACCGCACCUCAAUUUCCCAUCCAAGCCUACGUGUGCAUUUGUUUUUCAGUAUAUCAAACAUUAAUCCUACCAGUGCUACGAUCUUUGUGAAAAGCGCAAAUGUAGCGUUUUGAUAUGAUUACUUCACCUUUUUUUAAAAAAAAUCGGUGUAAGAUUGCUCACUUGAAUCAGCCAUUAAUUUUUUUCCUCCCUGAAACAGACAAAAAAAUCAUACAUUUAUACUGCUUCUUUGACCGAUUGUAGUAUCCCCAUGCAGCACGGCAAGCUGUGGUGAAGGGAACAGGACAACACUGAACAAGAAAAAGAAAGAAAUGCACAUAGGCAGAAACCUCUUGACAUGCUCUUACUUUACUUUUUUUAAAAGUUUACCAGAUUUUUUAAGAGAUUUACCUAAUAAAUUUAAGGCAGUUAACCUGUUACGCCCCAUAAAAACAAAGUGACAUAGUCUAAAAACAUAGAUAAAACAUAUAAAUAUAUAAAACAUAUUUAUACAAUCAUAUGUCAUCAAAUCUGUUUAGUAUGUCUGGAUUUGUGAUUAAAUGAUCAGAUCACUUUUUUUUGCAAGAUUUG